GUGUCAGCAGCCGCGGUAAUACGGAGGGUGCAAGCGUUAUUCGGAAUUAUUGGGCGUAAAGGGCGCGUAGGCGGUCUUUUAAGUCAGAUGUGAAAGCCCGGGGCUCAACCCCGGAAGUGCAUUUGAAACUAAUAGACUUGAGUAUGGGAGAGGGAAGUGGAAUUCCUGGUGUAGAGGUGAAAUUCGUAGAUAUCAGGAGGAACACCGGUGGCGAAGGCGACUUCCUGGACCAAUACUGACGCUGAGGCGCGAAGGCGUGGGGAGCAAACAGGAUUAGAUACCCUCGUAGUCC
RNAcentral lists this ribosomal RNA (292 nucleotides) under uncultured prokaryote. RNAcentral describes it as "partial 16S ribosomal RNA". It matches the Rfam family "Bacterial small subunit ribosomal RNA", at positions 505 to 796 of the family's 1533-position model. The record is from RNAcentral.